UACUCAUUAAAAGUUAACAACUAAAAGAGAAGAUUAAUAUCUAAGAUCUACACUUAGAUACAAAACUAAACUAUACAGAUCCUUCUUCUUCUUCUCCAUCGCCAACUCAAUCUCCUACACUUUUCUCAGAACCAGCUUCAUUAUCCGACUCGUUUCCAUCUCCAUUAUCAUCUUCACCUUCCAAAUACCGAACCUUUUUCCGCAAUUCCUCCAAUUCCCUCUCCAUUACAUACAUUUUCUCCUUCAACUCCAUGUUUUCCUCCUCCAAUCUCUCAAUAUGUUCCUCCACAUCGUCAACUCUGUAACCAAAAUCAUACGUAUCUCGACCCAAGCCACCAUUUCUUGGGUCAUAGAUCAUCUCAAAACGGCUCAAGUCAUGGCUUAACCUCUUCUCCACUUCCUCAACAUCACUGUUCCAGGAUAUAAUAACCCCUUCUCCUUCAUCUUCUUCUUCUGGCUCGUUUUC
This 466-nucleotide unclassified non-coding RNA is filed under the name Hevea brasiliensis (rubber tree). Lineage: Eukaryota; Viridiplantae; Streptophyta; Magnoliopsida; Malpighiales; Euphorbiaceae. The record is from RNAcentral.